Brassica oleracea var. oleracea is the source of this 1045-nucleotide long non-coding RNA. RefSeq lists it as uncharacterized. The transcript is spliced from 3 exons. The record is from RefSeq and is a predicted model, not a curated record. Lineage: Eukaryota; Viridiplantae; Streptophyta; Magnoliopsida; Brassicales; Brassicaceae.
CCCAAGGAAAACUUAAUUUUGCUUUAUAAUAAGUAUUGGGUCCGUAAAAAGUAAAAUGUUUUUUUUUGUUACUUUCACCCACUAACAAAGUUUACGGUUACGAUAGUUCGAUAAACUUCGAAGGUGUUUUCUGACGUCGGGAAAAUUGGUGAAAGAUUUAAUGACGGCUGAGGAGGAAGCUAGCGAGGAAGGAGGAAGCUAGCAGGGAAGGAGAAAGCGGAAGAGGAGACCGGAGGAAGCGGUUUGUCUUUCGAUGAUGGAAAAUUAAUGGAGUGAGAGGCAUCGGAGUUGGAGAUGACGGACGACCGGUUGCUUACGAAUUCUAGGGUCUUGUCUUGGCUGACUUUUCCGAGUUUUUCAAAAGGAUUUGUACUAUGUCUGGGAGCUCAUCUAUUACCAUGAAACAGGUGAGUCUCGUGAACUUACUUCUCUAUAUGUCUUCUUACUGAGUUUGUUUGCAUUUUGUUAUUGGGCAUUUUUGUUAAUAGUCGUGAAAGCUUCUAGAAAUGUGCCAGUUCACAAACUAUAAAGUUAGGUAUUUGCAUCAGAAAUUUUAUAGAGUGAGCUUCUGAAUUUGUAAAACUUUUCGGGUUUUAACGGAUUCUAGAUGCUGUAGAAGAUCUUCUUGAACUGGUUACGGGCUGAGCCAAUAUCAAAUUAUCUAAUAUCGUUAUUGAGUUCUUUGUUACCAUUAAGGUUUCUGGAAGGAUUAUGAGCAGCAGAAACUAUGUAGCUAAGGAUAUCAGUUUAGGCAUUAGGCCUUAGGCAGCUAUGCUUGAAGGUGUAUUCGAGGUUGCACGAGCUGUGAGAGUCACCAUGGGUCCAAGGUGGAAAACACAUGUAUCCAAGAGGAAGUCCAGCAACAUUUUCAUUCAUAUGAAACAAUUAAUAGGUGUACACAUGGAUAGUUUGUAGGUAUACACAUGGAUAGUUUUUAUAUAUUGCAAUUUGUAGGUGUACAUAUGGACAGUUUGUAGGUGUACACAAAUGUGGUAUGAUUAUUUUGUUGUAGUGCAAUGUGUAUGACACCACGAUGUUUUACAUA